UACGUAGGGGGCUAGCGUUGUCCGGAAUCAUUGGGCGUAAAGCGCGCGUAGGCUGUCAGUUAAGUCUGGUGUGAAAGUCAAAGGCUCAACCUUUGAAUGCCGCUGGAAACUGGCUGACUUGAGUCCGGAAGGGGCGAGUGGAAUUCCUGGUGGAGCGGUGAAAUGCGCAGAUAUCAGGAGGAACACCCGUAGCGAAGGCGGCACUCUGGGCCGAUACUGACACUGAGGAGCGAAAGCGUGGGGAGCGAACAGG
Molecule: ribosomal RNA, 253 nt
Filed under: uncultured bacterium
Lineage: Bacteria
Description: partial 16S ribosomal RNA
Rfam family: Bacterial small subunit ribosomal RNA
Source: RNAcentral